AAAGUCUGGCUUCUCAUCAGUGAGCAUCCCAAUAUUGAAAACUUGAGAGUAACUAGUCAAAAAGAACUGGGAUGAAAUUUUGGCACAUUAAAGCUAGGGGGAAUUUUCUCAUUACCAUCAGAUAAGUCCUCCUGUUACUCCAGAACAGCCAACUCUUCAAAGUCAAAGAAAUGACACUGCAGUGAAUCUCUGUUGCUGUUGUGAAACUGUUCCCAUUUGAACAGCUAGCAGACUCUGCUCUAACUCAUUUUGUCAGGAAAAGGUUUGAAGGAGUCAAACAACAUGUGGGAUGAAUGCCAGUGAAAUUCAGAGAGGUUAUUGUGACUUUCCAGCUCAGGAAGCUAUAAAGUCUUCAGCAGCACUGAAUCCAAAGCAGUCUUGUGCUCAGGGGAAGCUGCUUGUACCAGCCACAUACAGAAAAGCAGCCUGGGAAUCUGGACUGUGAUUUUAGUUUGAAGGAAAUAUGGAUCAGAGGAAACUGCUCUCACACCCAGAGAUCAUAAUUAUACAAAGUUACAGUAUAUUCCUGAUGACUUUGGUAGCUCCAAGGGAUUUCACUGACUUCAGAAAAUCCAUAUGAUACAAGUUCCAACUGCCCCAUCCAGAUGAACUUUAUACUGCUGUCACCAUUCUCAUAAGAGGUCUUUGGGAGCUACUUCUGAUCCUGGAGCGAGAGGCAGAACUGCUUUGGUUUGGCUUGUUCCCCUCCCAGAAGACCCUGCUUGGAAACAGAGUUCCCAGUGUCAGUGGGAUGUUGUUUAACAAACUGAGACGGCUAUGUUCUAGUCCACUACAGGAUCAACAGUGAAAUCUUGCUGACCUGUAUGCAUCUACCUUGAUGGCUUAACACCUUUAAGGCAUGACUUGAAAUGAGGUGUAUAAGCCCACAGUUGCAAUCCCACCAAAUCUUUCUCAGCUGUAGUGAUACCUUCUGCUAUUUACAUUUAUAUUCAAAGUAAAAUUUUUGAGACCAGGUGUAUUAUUAGAAGUGCUUCAAGUUGCGCAGCUGAACAUCACUUUUUCAGGAAAGCCUGGUUUGGUCCUCAGAGGGACCCAGCCUGUUGGGUGUUCUCAGGGUCAGAUUUGCCAUAUACUCACUCACUGUCUCCUUGGGCUUCUUGCAAAGUAUUCCUAAGCUUGUCUGCUUGUCUUUAGAGAUGACCUUCACCCACUUUUUUCUUUCCUUUUUUUUUUUCCAAAUUAACAGUCUACUGAUUAGUACAUUUGUUUCCACUUCCUUCUGACAGUGAAAAUGUUCUCUUCCUCAACUGAUCAUUACAUGUAAAACAUGGUACCUUAGUAGAGACCAGAUCCUGACUCUCGUCUCUGUUAAGUAACUGCCCAGUUGCAAAGACAUCAACUCACUGAAAAUGCUUUUCUUUGCCAGAGCAAAACAAAUCUUGUAGUGCCAAAGGCACUCAAUUUCUGAAGGGUAUUCCAGAACAGCAACCACCUCAUAAUAAAGCACUCAAAUACAUUUUUCA
Anser brachyrhynchus (Pink-footed goose) is the source of this 1484-nucleotide long non-coding RNA. NCBI's taxonomy places the organism in Eukaryota, Metazoa, Chordata, Aves, Anseriformes, Anatidae. The record is from Ensembl.